This is a long non-coding RNA of Bufo gargarizans (Asiatic toad), 2646 nucleotides long. RefSeq lists it as uncharacterized. The transcript has 3 exons. Lineage: Eukaryota; Metazoa; Chordata; Amphibia; Anura; Bufonidae. The record is from RefSeq and is a predicted model, not a curated record.
AUCAAAAGAAAACCUGCCCAUCUAGGCUCUAACAAAUAUAGUAGAAACCUAUAAUGUUGUUAGAGAACAAACAACAAGAAAAUGCCCAAAAUAUUCCCAAAAUAUAAUUUAUUUAAUUAUAAUCAACAUAUCGUGAUUUAUAAAAUAUUAGAAAUGACAAAAAAAUGAAGAACCAGCAGGAAACCGGAUACCGCAAUCCACUGGCCAAUGCCGCUGCUACCCACCAAAAGAUGGAAAACAUGUCAAGUAUGCCAAUGGUAUAUAUCAGGGUGAUUCACAAUAUAGUAGGCCUAAUGAUGCUACUGUUGUAAAGUAAAAAGCAUAUGGUCAUCACCCCGUACAUAACCACUAGGCAGAGCUGACUCGAAGGGCAGUUAAAGAAAAAUAAUCAAACAGACGCUAGAAUCUAGCAGCAGAGGGAGAGGUUGAACCCUCAGAAAAUAAUAAAGCACAAGACCUUACAAUAAAGGAUAUGGAGGAGCCGAGCUAUCAACUACAGAUAGACAUCAAAAGCAUACCACAAGACAUGAUGGAGGGUGAAAAGCAGCAGGCACAGGACAGGAUAGGAACCUCGACGCGAGUUUCGCCUCAGCUUCGUCGGGAUAUAAGUGAAAGUGUGACCGUAUUCCCCUAUUUAUAUCUCCGGUAAAGAUUAAACACAUGUGGUCUAAAUAAACAAUCACAACAGCUGAUGCCUAAUAUCGAGCGCUCCAUACCUGAUGAUGCACACCGAGCCCACAGUGAUGACGCCGCACUCAUCAGGAGGAGGGAUGGAACGCACGUUAUGCGUUCCAGCCCGCCUCUCAAGGAGACGUAGCGGCGUCCCCACGUGACCCUGCGCACAGCGCAUCAUAGCAGAGCGCUACAGCAGAUGAUCAGGUAAACAAGAUGCCAGAAUAUCCGGUUUCCACCUGGAUCCAGUUACAUAAAGGAGUCCCAUAUAGUCAGGCAAACAUAUACCUGCUUCUACAUCUGUGGUUUAUGACAGUCAACUUGAGAACCUCUAUGUAAUGUCCGGCAAGCAGUGGUCACCACUAAACGGCUCCUCUCUUGCUGGAGAGCUCUGUCUCUGGCUUUGGUCUUUCCAGUUUCUCUUAUGGUCCCUUUUAAAUCUUCUCUUUCCAGCUCAGCAGUGUUACUAGCCAAAGGUAAUCUAAAAAAUCUAACUUAAUUCUCUAAAAAUCUAAAUUAACCCAAAGCAGAGAACUUUGCUAGUGAUUCCGGACCUUAGAUAGAGACAAACCAUCUAGUUCUGCAGCUCCUCCUUGGUGAAUGGCCCUCAGGUCGUGGAAUGCAGAGCGAUGAGUUGAUGCAGAGUUAUUAUACCAAAUCCAGUGCAUGUAGACUAUAUCAACCCAAGCUCUGUCACUUUCCUGAUCAGUACAUCAAUAGGUUACCUAGAGAACUAGGCAGUUAAAUCACAGGUCACGCAUUACACUUACAUAUAUAUAGAGGAGGACUGGUCAAAGACCCUACAGGGAAACUUCCCGGUAGGCUGAUGCCCAGGGGGACACCCAAGCCCUCCUCAUGGCCGCCAGUCAUGGUAAGUAAUGAUCUGACGUUUCCCUCCUGACUCCUGAUUUCAAAUGUAUUGCCAUCCUAAGGCAACUGGAGUAGGAGGACAGAACAUGACAGCUGGAGCUGGCCACUAUAGAGGGGAAGUUUUUGGGAAGGUGUUUUGUGCUGCUGGGGUAUUAUACCUUAAUACGUUAUUGCUGCCACUUGUGUUGGCUCUCUUCUGUCAAUUCGGACCAGACUACAAAAUGGGGCUACUUUUAGUUUUUUCCAGAGCCACUUUGAGUUUCCAAUUCACCCCUGCAUAUAUACACGUGCAUGCUUACACAUUACACACCCAUACAUAUUUCACCCACAGUGCACACAGAUUAACACACAUACAUACACAUUGCACACAAGGUACACACAUUACACAUACUUCGCCUCCAGAGCUGUCACAUCCCAGCACUCCACCUCCUUUUCUAUCUCUCCCAACACAGCUUCUGUCUGAUUCAAAUUACGACAGUUGGAAAGAAUCCCUGGCUGUUGUAACUUCCUGCAGUGCAAACAGAAGAGGGCAUGGGAAGGCAGGACUUCCAGAAACGCACAUCUUGCACCCCGUCCACAUCUCAACCUGACUGUGCCCCAGAUGUUCGACCCUUGGAUGUGGGUCACUGAGUUAAGUCAGCGCAUGUUGCAGAAGGGCUAUGAUAAAACCCGGUCCCACGCUGACAAGCGACGGAUAGUUCGGAGAAUUCGGUACGAGCUAUGGAGGGAACAUGAUGGCCAGCACAAUAGGUUGGCCAUCGUUAACAAAUGGUCCGACCUGAAGCGGUAGAACUCGGAUUGGAUCAUACAGAUCUGCGACAAAAUUUGCCCAGUACUAAGACAAAUUAACAAAAAAUAUUAAAGAUGCAGCGGGAGCACCAGCAAGACAUCAAGGAGAUCCGGGAGCACCAUCUGAGAAAGCUGCGGGAGCUGAAACUCCAGUUUUCUCAUAAAAUAACAAAGUUGGAGGAGAAACACAACAAGGCCGUGGAGGAGCUGUUAAACCUCCAUGACCAAAUUAAAGCUUUCCCCUAGUUUUUAUUGUAAAAGAAUAUUUUAUAAUAAUGUUAAUUAUUAAUAUAAAGGUUUUCUGUUAAAAUGUUA